Molecule: ribosomal RNA, 564 nt
Filed under: uncultured Hyphomicrobiales bacterium
Lineage: Bacteria; Pseudomonadati; Pseudomonadota; Alphaproteobacteria; Hyphomicrobiales
Description: bacterial SSU rRNA
Rfam family: Bacterial small subunit ribosomal RNA
Source: RNAcentral
UGAGUAAUGUAUAGGAAUCUACCUAGUAGUACGGAAUAAUUGUUGGAAACGGCAACUAAUACCGUAUACGCCCUACGGGGGAAAAAUUUAUUGCUAUUAGAUGAGCCUAUAUUAGAUUAGUUAGUUGGUGAGGUAAAGGCUUACCAAGACAAUGAUCUAUAGCUGAUCUGAGAGGAUGAUCAGCCACACUGGAACUGAGAUACGGUCCAGACUCCUACGGGAGGCAGCAGUGGGGAAUAUUGGACAAUGGGCGAAAGCCUGAUCCAGCCAUGCCGCAUGAGUGAAGAAGGCCUUCGGGUUGUAAAGCUCUUUUAGUGAGGAAGAUAAUGACGGUACUCACAGAAGAAGUCCUGGCUAACUCCGUGCCAGCAGCCGCGGUAAUACGGAGAGGGCUAGCGUUAUUCGGAAUCAUUGGGCGUAAAGGGCGCGUAGGCGGGUUAGUAAGUUAAAAGUGAAAUCCCAAGGCUCAACCUUGGAACUGCUUUUAAAACUGCUAGUCUAGAGAUUGAAAGAGGAUAGAGGAAUUCCUAGUGUAGAGAUGAAAUUCGUAAAUAUUAGGAGGAA